AACUUUGCGCAAUGGCAGUAUUGUAGCCAAUGAGGUUUAUCCAAGGUGCCAUUAUUGCUAAUUGAAACAGACCAGAAGUGACUGAUUACAAAUGAACAAUGAUUUCAGAAUCAGCUCUUUGCAUACAGUUACAACAUCAACUG
This is a small nuclear RNA of Gracilinanus agilis (Agile Gracile Mouse Opossum), 143 nucleotides long. RefSeq annotates it as U4 spliceosomal RNA. Lineage: Eukaryota; Metazoa; Chordata; Mammalia; Didelphimorphia; Didelphidae. The record is from RefSeq and is a predicted model, not a curated record. The transcript has a single exon.